Molecule: long non-coding RNA, 450 nt
Filed under: Ananas comosus (pineapple)
Lineage: Eukaryota; Viridiplantae; Streptophyta; Magnoliopsida; Poales; Bromeliaceae
Description: long non-coding RNA (ACOM_LNC028930)
Source: RNAcentral
UUUUUUUCUUUUUUUUUCUUUUUUUUUUUUUGUAGUUAAUUACAUAUAAGAUUUUACAAAUAUAGUAAAUUAUCAAUAUAUUUUAAUAAAAUUUAACUUUCAUAUAUUAUUCUUAUACAAAUUAUGAUAUUUUCAAAUAUAUUCUUAUCGUUAGAAUCUAUUAGAAAAAUUUAGAUAACUAUAGAUUAAAUAUUUAAUCCUAAUUAGUUAAUAAGGUGAAUCGAUCUUUUUACCCCUUUUCAAUUACAGUUGGGAUUUUUGGACGGACGUAUUUGUGAUGGCAAAAAAGUUAUUUCACUUAUAAAAUAGAUAGUGAUUUAACGAUAAUAAAUCAGAGGGACAUUGUCACACCCCGGAUUACCACAUUUUUCCCCGCACAGCAACAGACCCGUCGUAUACAUAAAAUUUUUUUAUGUAUACGAAGCGAUAGCUGUACUUGUAAACAAAAUG